GCAACUAGGAAGGAGGAUGUUUGGGUAUUGCUUUACGUUCUUAAAUUUAGCGUGAAGCCCCGGGCCUGCGGGUCCUGCACCAGAGCGAUAGUGAGGCUCAGAGGCUCUGUUAAGAGCUCCGGACGCAGACCGAGCCCAAGACGCUUCAAUCCCAGGUCAGCCCACGCGCCCCGCGGCCACUCACCUGGCCAUGACCUUCCGCACGUUGUCCGCGAAGAGGGCGGGGCUCUCCCGCUCUUCCUGCGAGGGGGUGUAGACAGGCAGGAACUGCAGCCAACAGGGAGAGAGGAGGUGUGUUGAGGGGGGCGGGGCUAGGCGGGAGGGAGGAAGACCAAGUGAAGGGGGGGGGUUUACCUCCACUGUGACGUUGGUGUAGAGCUGAGAGGCUGUGUACCACAUGACCUGGGUCCUGCAAGGAGAGCACAGCAGUUAACAUGACAGAGGGCGUGUGCUACAGGAGUCUACAGGAGCCCACAGGAGCCUACAGGAGCCCACAGCCCACAGGAGACCACAGACCACAGGAGCUCUCCCAGCACUCACCAACUCAGCCCCUUCCACGUCCACCUCACUGUGUCCUGCAGGCAAGACAACACAGGGGUCAGUCCAGGACAGGUCAUGCAGGGGCUGGACACUGACAGGGCAAGCUGGUCUGCAGGCUGACCGCCUGGAAACACUCAGCCAGCACGUCAGACUGACACUCCUUCAUCAUCAUCAUCAUCAUCUCUCAGUGUCACUCAGCCAGCACGUCAGACUGACACUCCUUCAUCAUCAUCAUCAUCAUCAUCGCUCAGUGUCACUCAGCCAGCACGUCAGACUGACACUCCUUCAUCAUCAUCAUCAUCAUCAUCUCUCAGUGUCACUCAGCCAGCACGUCAGACUGACACUCCUUCAUCAUCAUCAUCAUCAUCAUCAUCAUCGAUCAGUGUCACUCAGCCAGCACGUCACUCACUCCUUCAUCAUCAUCAUCAUCAUCAUCUCUCAGUGUCACUCA
RNAcentral lists this long non-coding RNA (991 nucleotides) under Lepisosteus oculatus (spotted gar). RNAcentral describes it as "lncRNA (ENSLOCG00000023190.1)". Lineage: Eukaryota; Metazoa; Chordata; Actinopteri; Semionotiformes; Lepisosteidae. The record is from RNAcentral.